GAAUCUAGCUUCAGGUCUGGGACAACCACUGGAAACGGUGGCUAAUACCGGAUGUGCCGGAAGGUGAAAGGCUUGCUGCCUGAAGAUGAGCUCGCGUCUGAUUAGCUAGUUGGUGGGGUAAAAGCCUACCAAGGCGACGAUCAGUAGCUGGUCUGAGAGGAUGACUAGCCACACUGGGACUGAGACACGGCCCAGACUCCUACGGGAGGCAGCAGUGGGGAAUUUUCCGCAAUGGGCGAAAGCCUGACGGAGCAAUACCGCGUGAGGGAGGAAGGCUCUUGGGUUGUAAACCUCUUUUCUCAGGGAAGAACACAAUGACGGUACCUGAGGAAUCAGCAUCGGCUAACUCCGUGCCAGCAGCCGCGGUAAUACGGAGGAUGCAAGCGUUAUCCGGAAUGAUUGGGCGUAAAGCGUCCGCAGGUGGCUGUGUAAGUCUGCUGUCAAAGAGCGAAGCUCAACUUCGUAAAGGCAGUGGAAACUACACGGCUAGAGUGCGUUCGGGGCAGAGGGAAUUCCUGGUGUAGCGGUGAAAUGCGUAGAGAUCAGGAAGAACACCGGUGGCGAAGGCGCUCUGCUAGGCCGCAACUGACACUGAGGGACGAAAGCUAGGGGAGCGA
Molecule: ribosomal RNA, 617 nt
Filed under: uncultured cyanobacterium
Lineage: Bacteria; Bacillati; Cyanobacteriota
Description: bacterial SSU rRNA
Rfam family: Bacterial small subunit ribosomal RNA
Source: RNAcentral